This 64-nucleotide transfer RNA is filed under the name Tetraphleps aterrimus. RNAcentral's name for it is "tRNA-His". The record is from RNAcentral. Lineage: Eukaryota; Metazoa; Arthropoda; Insecta; Hemiptera; Anthocoridae.
ACUUAAAUAGUUUAAAUAUAGAAUAUUAAUUUGUGGUGUUAUUGGUGUAGUUUUACUUUAGGUU